Molecule: ribosomal RNA, 1216 nt
Filed under: Klebsiella quasipneumoniae subsp. similipneumoniae
Lineage: Bacteria; Pseudomonadati; Pseudomonadota; Gammaproteobacteria; Enterobacterales; Enterobacteriaceae
Description: partial 23S ribosomal RNA
Rfam family: Bacterial large subunit ribosomal RNA
Source: RNAcentral
GGUUAAGCGACUAAGCGUACACGGUGGAUGCCCUGGCAGUCAGAGGCGAUGAAGGACGUGCUAAUCUGCGAAAAGCGUCGGUAAGGUGAUAUGAACCGUUACAGCCGGCGAUGUCCGAAUGGGGAAACCCAGUGUGAUUCGUCACACUAUCGUUAACUGAAUACAUAGGUUAACGAGGCGAACCGGGGGAACUGAAACAUCUAAGUACCCCGAGGAAAAGAAAUCAACCGAGAUUCCCCCAGUAGCGGCGAGCGAACGGGGAGCAGCCCAGAGUCUGAAUCAGCUUGUGUGUUAGUGGAACGGUCUGGAAAGUCCGACGGUACAGGGUGAUAGUCCCGUACACCAAAAUGCACAGGCUGUGAACUCGAAGAGUAGGGCGGGACACGUGGUAUCCUGUCUGAAUAUGGGGGGACCAUCCUCCAAGGCUAAAUACUCCUGACUGACCGAUAGUGAACCAGUACCGUGAGGGAAAGGCGAAAAGAACCCCGGCGAGGGGAGUGAAAAAGAACCUGAAACCGUGUACGUACAAGCAGUGGGAGCACCUUUAUGGUGUGACUGCGUACCUUUUGUAUAAUGGGUCAGCGACUUAUAUUCUGUAGCAAGGUUAACCGUAUAGGGGAGCCGCAGGGAAACCGAGUCUUAACUGGGCGUUAAGUUGCAGGGUAUAGACCCGAAACCCGGUGAUCUAGCCAUGGGCAGGUUGAAGGUUGGGUAACACUAACUGGAGGACCGAACCGACUAAUGUUGAAAAAUUAGCGGAUGACUUGUGGCUGGGGGUGAAAGGCCAAUCAAACCGGGAGAUAGCUGGUUCUCCCCGAAAGCUAUUUAGGUAGCGCCUCGUGAACUCAUCUUCGGGGGUAGAGCACUGUUUCGGCUAGGGGGUCAUCCCGACUUACCAACCCGAUGCAAACUACGAAUACCGAAGAAUGUUAUCACGGGAGACACACGGCGGGUGCUAACGUCCGUCGUGAAGAGGGAAACAACCCAGACCGCCAGCUAAGGUCCCAAAGUCAUGGUUAAGUGGGAAACGAUGUGGGAAGGCACAGACAGCCAGGAUGUUGGCUUAGAAGCAGCCAUCAUUUAAAGAAAGCGUAAUAGCUCACUGGUCGAGUCGGCCUGCGCGGAAGAUGUAACGGGGCUAAACCAUGCACCGAAGCUGCGGCAGCGACACUAUGUGUUGUUGGGUAGGGGAGCGUUCUGUAAGCCUGCGAAGGUG